Molecule: ribosomal RNA, 253 nt
Filed under: uncultured bacterium
Lineage: Bacteria
Description: partial 16S ribosomal RNA
Rfam family: Bacterial small subunit ribosomal RNA
Source: RNAcentral
UACGUAGGUGGCAAGCGUUGUCCGGAUUUAUUGAGUUUAAAGGGUGCGUAGGCGGUCUAUUAAGUCAGUGGUGAAAUACUCCAGCUUAACUGGAGGGGUGCCAUUGAUACUGAUGGACUUGAGUCAAGUCGAGGUAGGCGGAAUUGACGGUGUAGCGGUGAAAUGCUUAGAUAUCGUCAAGAACACCAAUAGUGAAGACAGCUUACUGGGCUUAAACUGACGCUGAGGCACGAAAGUGUGGGGAUCAAACAGG